GUUAGGGUUGGGGAUGGUUUAGGUACGCCUCUCUCCCGCCUGGGUACUUAUCCAUGGGUCCUCGCCUCCUUUUCAUACGUGCUUGUUUCACGAAGUUGAUCCGGGUUGACCUAUUGGGAGUUUGAGACAGGCAGCUGCCGUGGUUUAAUCUGUUCGGGACACACAUGCCUGACUUGAGGCUCGUGCAUGCCAUAGAACAGAUUGGCAUAUAGCGUCUGUACUUUUGCUAUCACCCGUCUUUUUUGGUGAGUUAUUAAUUUUUCUGACUGGUUGUAGUUUUCUGCUGCCCGUUUAACACAUUAUCCUUUUUUUUAGGGUUCACAUACAACCCAUUAACAGUCGCGUAAGGAGCGUACGCCCUCUCGCGAUGUCAACGUGGGCACAAGGGACUGGGCUGAUUUUCUCGUUUUGUUUUAUGAUUUUUCCUGCUCGUUUUGUCGUCGCAAAAAAACCCUAGCCCAUUCCCGUCCGCAUCCCUGCUGCCGCCGCCGCCGCCCUUCCAAUUCCCUCUGCUCCUGCUGCUUCCCUCCACCUCUCCCUCAUCCACGCCGUCAGGGGCGCCCCUCAAGCCCCACCUCGUCGGUUCCCCACCUGGGCUCCUUCUCCCCCACCCCGGGCGAGCACCGGACAGGCAGAGGGAGUGCCUUGGUCGAGGGACAACGAGGCUCGCCGGCUGGGCGACUUCGAGCGCUGGAGGCUAGACAGGCAGAGGCAGGGGCGGAUCCAUGUGGGGGCAUGGGUGCCGUCGCGCCAUCAAAGGCCUCCACGGCGCCCUCUACCAGGUCACCUCUCUCCAAGAUCUCCUUUUUACCCAUGUUUUUACCACUCUCCAAGCUCGCACUAUUGCUCCGGAAAAUUCCCUUUGGAAUUGGGGAUGAGGCAAAUCGAUUUCGAUUGAUUGGCGCCACGCAGACGACGGGCGUGGGACGGUGCAGGAGGCGUGCCGCGUUUGAGAGCCACUGUGGAUUAUCUUCGAGGUGUCAGGCGACAUUCGCCUCGAGACCUACCUCCGGGUCUCUUCCCACAUGACCAUUGACGGGCGCGGGUAGCGGGUCAGGCUCACCGACAAGGCGCCGGUAGAUUUCUUAAUCUGCUCGUUAUGGUUCUCCAAAUAUUUUCAGAGAAUAAAACUGGCUGAAGAUGGUGCGUGCAGCUUGCCUCUGAACUUGUGAUGUCCGGCCAUUGCAUCUGGGAGGAGCUCCUCUUCAGGAAGAAUGCCGAGACGUACGACACUGCUGCGACUGUCGUUCUCGUCCGCGUUUUGACUACACUUCCAGGUUAGCUCUCUACUUCAGUUGCUCGCAGCUAGCAACUCUGAAUGCACUUCAUCCCGUGUUAAUUAACUUUCAGAAUUGUGCUGCUUUGUUUAUAAAUGAUGCUGGCCAUACUAUAUGUCUUCGUCUGAAGUGAUUCUUCAUUGCCCUUGCAGAGUAGCAUUGAUUUUCUUUAGAAGUACCCUGUGGCCGAGUGUGACAUUUGGUUUAUCAAAUUCUAAUGUGAUUUUCACUUCAAUCAAUUAGCAAUAGGUAACACUUGAUAUUGACACUGUUAUCUGCAGAAUUAUUUUUGUAAGAUACUUAUGUGAUUGCCAACAAGUUUCUGAAGAUGACUGUGCUCGUGAUUAAUUGUUUGCUCAUAAACCAAAUCAUCUAUAUGCACCUGAUCAGGGUUAGAUGAAAUUCAAAGAGUAUAAUUCUUGUGGUUAAUCGUUUUCUCGUAAACAGGCAACUGCGAAGGCAAAAUCUACAUGUGAGAAGUGCAGAUGAGCCCCGCUGUGCUAAUUACCCGGUAAGUUCAACUAAGCAAGUUCAGCUAUUCCCAGUUUCUCCUCUGCAUGUGGUGGUGGUGCUAGCUACUAACUUCUACUAUGUUCCUGCAUGUACACUCUCAUAAUUUCCAGGCUGAGUAGUCCGCAACGCAAAUCUUAUGCUCUCUCAUCUUCCCUUGUAAACUACCUAAACAUUGAUGAUUGUAAACCAGCUGUUGAUUAAUGACUGAAUGUGAUCCAUAAAAAAAAGACAUGACGCCAUCUUAUUUCUUGAAAAUGUACAUGCCUAUCUAGAUUUUUUUAGAACAAAUUUUUUUUACUCGUAUGUCUAGGUUGUGACUUGUGAGUUGUGACUGAGUGUGAGUUGAAUAAUUAUUGUGUAGAAUUUUAGAUUUCUAUAUUUGUUCUUUGACAUAUGAGAGUUACAUUGUGUGAUUAAUUAGGUCAUAGAACAUUGAUUUGAUUUAUCUUCUGCCAGUAAGCAUUGUCCUGUAACAAAUGUUCAGUAAUGGCAUAAUCGGAUCACAUGCUGUAGAUGAAUGCCUAAAGUGUACAUAUGCUUUUUUUUUGACCGAAAGCAAUACUGUCUAGCUUUUUGAGAAAGCUAAAAGUCUGAUUACAAAAACAAGCAAAGAUGAGGCUGGGUGUCGAAAUAGUACAGAUCCUGCAGAAGUUCAAAUUUGUACUAUGAGGGUAUUUGCGUGUAGCAAAGUAGGGUGAUCAUUGCAUGGCAUGCCUUCAGUCCUUGGUAGUCAUCUAAUGUACAUAGUAUCCUUAAAGUUUCUUCAAGUUGAGGAAUGAUCAAACUUAAUAGCAGACAUCCAUUGUGAUAAGCUAUUAUUAUAUUUCAUUUAUUUGCCGGCUUAAUACAGCUACACUGUUGAUCUUUACUCCGAUUUAUCUUGUAGUAACUCCUAACACUCACUUCCUAACGCUCACUUAUUUGCCGGCUUGAUACAGCUACACUGUUGAUCUUUACUCCCAUUAAAAAGUCAAUUGGUGACGGCAGUCUGUCCACUUUCGUUACAACACAUGUUAUAUUUGGCACAAAUAUUAAGAUGAGAGCGGAUAUGGAUAUUUUGAUUUUGCAUAAACUGCGGAAAGAUCUUACAACACAGUUUUAAAAUUCCAUUUUAAUGAAUGAGUAUUGUGCUUGUAUGGGUGGCAUCAUACUGUAUUUCACAGUGCUGAAAAUCAAAUGCACAUUGUUUUCACAUAAUCACAUUGUAUUCAAACAAUCUGUGUGAUGUCUCAUUGUCAUCCUUUGCAGUAUUCUGAAUUGGCUGCUGAAGUACAUAAGUGAAGUCUAUUGGUGAAGGAGAUGUGAAGAAUGAUAUAGAGCAAGUAGAUAAAAACCGCAGUUGUUGGCCCAAGGUAGGCUCCUUCACUCAGAGUAUAUGUUGGGACGGUUUCUUGUUCGACAUCAAUUUCUGGUUGGAGAUUGAACUGUAUUCCAGUUUGAUUAUGUGAUUACAUCAAAUUUGUGCAUAUUAACUGAAAUGUGUAAUGCUACAAAGUAGAUAGGUUUUCCUAGCAUUUUACCACGGGGCGUCUCUUUUGUUUGUUUUCUGCCCCUUGUCUUGUACAUUCUCCAUUUAAUGACAUAUGGAUGGCUAACCAACCAUUUUUGUUUGUUUAUAACAGUUUUACAUGAGUAUUCCUACAUAUAGGAUAAUACCCUUCUGGUGCUAAUCAAGGAUUUGAUAUUCCGUUAGCUUUGGUUAACCUGCCUGAGUUAGUGCCUACACGAGGAGCUGAACAAAAAUGCAAUGGGGGGAGCCCAUCUUAGAAUUGUUUUCCCUUUUCUCGCAAUAGCUUUCAUUUUGCAGUAUAUUAGCUAAUUCUGCGCAGGAUGAUUACAUAUGCAACAUUUGUAAAGGAGUAGACUUGUUAAAAGUUUCAACUAAUAUUAUAUGAUGCCUGCUGGAUUAUUUUCUUGUCAAACUGAAAUUUAAAUGUCCCAAUACUAUGUUCUAUUCCAAUUUCAAACUAAUUUCCUUGUUGUGGGUUGCAUACACGAACUGUAAUGCAUUUCAUUUGUGUUAAAUAAUACGAGUACGAAUAAACACUUGCUAAUGGAGCAAACCAGCCAAGUGAAUGCUUCUUGUUAUAACCAGUUCAUCCAAUGGAGCGUGCAUACCGGUUACAUGCAUAUCCAUGUUCCAUACACAAUGCAAAGCAAGACUGCAAACACACUAACAAAUCCGACAGAAAGAUAAGUGCGCUCAAUCACGCAGAGGAGGCGCGCCCAGGGCACGCCCCAACCACUAGUUAUCCAUUGUUGAUGUGUGCUUUAGGGUGUGAUCCGGGUUGCCUCCAGCCGGCAACACUUCCAAGUAUCGGCACCACUUGUUGAUCAAAGACGCUGGCCAUCCUCUGAAUACUGACUUAGAUUACGUGCAACAUCUUGGUGGAGACACCCCUUUGAAAAGAGAUGCUAACCUGGCCUUACAAGAUUUACAUUAUCGCCCAAAUCAAGUCAGGGCUUUUCUGGAAUUCUUGAUUUUAGGGGCGGCACCUACAAGCCGUACCUGACGUGAAAUCAACAUGAGCUCCAAAGUACGUGCUUUCUGAAUCUCUCUUAAAUGUUUUUUUAAUCACAGCAAAGGAUAAAAGAUAGGGCCUGUUCUGAUCUCCUUCCACUCCACGCUUCACAAAUUCCUAAAGCAGAUACGAGCCGAACGAAAUAGCAGCGAGAAGCUAGGAUCGACCGCAGUGCAAAACCGUGAAGCAGACUCGGCCCAGCUCCAUCGAUCCGGAAAGCUGAAGUUGGCAGAUAUUACAAGUGAACUGCCACCGCCAAGUCAUACGAGCCGAACCGGUACGCUCGAUCUGUUUGAUCGCUCCUUAUUCCUUCGCUCGUGCUCCCUCGCUGCUCCUCUACAAGGCCGAUUUGGGCUGCCUCCAGUCGGCCCAACUAGCCCGAACAGGCCACAGCCCUCCAGCUGGGCUGUAGUGCCGCGAGAAGCUGCAAACCGAGGCGAACAGAUUUUUCAUCGCUGCAUGGAGUGAGAAGCUACUCUGAGAAGCUGAAUUUGUGAAGUUUUGGGAAGCUAGAGGAGAUCAGAACAGGCCCAUAGUGUGCUCUUUCUGCAGAACAUUCUAUUGUAUACGUGUCGGGAAAAUGCUUCUUGCACAACAAGGGAAAUAAAUAUUCCCCACAAAAAAACAAGGAAAUAAAUUUGACAAUGAC
This 4961-nucleotide long non-coding RNA is filed under the name Triticum aestivum (bread wheat). RNAcentral describes it as "long non-coding RNA (TAES_LNC018707)". The record is from RNAcentral. Lineage: Eukaryota; Viridiplantae; Streptophyta; Magnoliopsida; Poales; Poaceae.